This 338-nucleotide ribosomal RNA is filed under the name Rhizophagus irregularis. Lineage: Eukaryota; Fungi; Glomeromycota; Glomeromycetes; Glomerales; Glomeraceae. The record is from RNAcentral.
CAGUCGUACCGGCGGAUAAUCAGCCUUUCGGGUGCGAUUCUGUGGGGCGUGAGGAGUUAAACGCCUUCAUGCCUGCAUAUUCGUGCACUUUGGGUGUACUUGCCCGUGUGUAAGUUAACAUCAAUUUUGGUGGUCAUAAAAUGGCUGGAGGAAUGUAGCUUCGAUCUCGUAUUGAAGUGUUAUAGCCUUCGGUAGAUGUGGUGAUCGAGAUUGAGGAUUGCAGCGCGCCUUAUGGCCGGGGUUCGCGCCCUCGGUACGCGCUUAGGAUGCUGGCAUAAUGGCUUUAAGCGACCCGUCUUGAAACACGGACCAAGGAGUCUAGCAUAUAUGCGAGUGUU